Molecule: long non-coding RNA, 1945 nt
Filed under: Crocodylus porosus (Australian saltwater crocodile)
Lineage: Eukaryota; Metazoa; Chordata; Crocodylia; Crocodylidae
Description: lncRNA (ENSCPRG00005016424.1)
Source: RNAcentral
CUCAGUCAGUGCAGCUCUGCCAUUGACCAUGGAAAGGCCCUAUUCCCCAGCACUUAAGGGCAUCUGUUUUUCCUAGCAGCUUCCUAAGAUUUCUUCUUAUGGCACAUGAGGGGAAGAUUCCUAACUUGGAGGAGCAACCGGUUUGGUUUGGCUUUUCUUUAAGGAGCGUCUCCAGCCCACAUUGAUUGCCUGUGGAAUGCUUGUCUCCGUACUGGUGGGCUUCAAGAUAAGAAUCGGUUUUCAGAGUGUCCAAAAUACAGCCGUGCCCUGCAGCAGCACCCUAGCAACACAGCAUGAUAUAAGGCUCUUUGAAUGCUUCAGGGUGAUUCUAGUCCUGCCAGCUGGUCGAGGCAUCUCAGAUGGUUACUACCUUUGGCACCAGGCAACCCUGAGAGAGUCAGAAGAGCCAUCACUCCAGUACCCAAGCAGCAAAUGAGCCUGUGUUCCAGAUUUAAAAAUGCUUUUAAAGGAAAGAAGGGCAAGCCCCUGCAGAGUCAGCAGCAGAACAAAAUCAGAGUGCCCAUACCCCAGCUGCUGUCAUCCAAAGUGCUGGCAUGCUGGAAGUCAGCACUACUUGCACCACAGGACAGAGACAAGGAUGUUAAAUUGAACUGUUAUACGCCCAGAGAUCAACAGACUGCCUUUCACUGGGUGAUCUUUUUAUCAAGACAAAGGAAAAACAGUAUCUUUCAUCUGUCUGGAAUUUAUUAAAGCAUCUACAACAUAACCACAUGGAACAAUGAAGGAACUGACCAGCAGGAAGACAGCAACAGGAAACGUUGGAAGGGGAAGUAUUGGUGGUGAAGCAGGAUGACUACCAGAGCUUCUAAAGUAGAGGUGGGCAAAAUCCAGCUUGCAGGCUGGAUCCGGCCUGCAGAGGGAUUUUUGCCCAGCCCACAAUGCAGUGGCCAGAGACUAUUUCCUGGCAGCCUUAGUAGCAGCAACUCCUAUGACUGCCACUGCUGGACCUGGCCCCACCGAGCACACCGCCUCAUAGAUACUGACUUUUAUUUUUGCCAGGUGGAGGCCUAAGAUGAUGCCACCUUGCACCCUUGUGGCAUGGCUGAAGCAGAGCCAAACGGAGCCUGUGGGGGUUGGAUACAGACUGCGGGCUUGGGGCUUCCCACCCUGCUGCUCUUCCCCUCGGAGCCCCAGGCUGGCCAUGCCACCAUGGUGAGGUGCCCCCUGCCCACCCAACUGCAGUGGGGGGCACAACUCUGCCCCACAGCUUCUGGGUGGGCAAGGGGCGUCUUGCCACGGGAGUGAAAAUGGUGUGGGGCUCCCAGUGGAGGGGAGCAACCUGCAUCUGCCUCUCCCCUAUGCACAAAUCUGUGCCCCCUGCCUCUGCAUGUCCUCUUCCCCGGAGUGUGUGCGGCAGCAGGUAGCCUCCCCACACCCUCUGCCCCUCUUGAUGAGCCACCUGUGGCUCUGUCUUGUUCCCCACCCCAGCCCCAAUCCCCAUGUACCGCCCUGGGUGGGCAGCUCCCCCAGGCUCAGCCCCUCCCACUCUCUCCCUCACCAUGGGGCCCUCAAUCUGCCCCCUCCCAUAGAUUUACCUGCAGGCAGCUGGGGGAACUGAGGCUCUCCACCACUGCCUGGGGCCAUAUUUCUGGCCCCAUGCAGCAUGGAGCCAGGGCACAGGGAAGAGCUGCAAUCUGCUGCCCACACACCCCUAUGACAGGAACUGGUUUUGCAGUCAGAGACAUGCAGGGAACAGAUCGCGCCCCUGACCCCAGCCUCGGGCUGUCACUAUCCCAAAAUCCAAGCCCCGCCCACCCACUCAACCCACCUGAGCAACUUCUAGCUCUCCUCCAUGGCUAUCCACCUUUAGACACACAAGCAGACUGCAGACUUUAGUUCGGGAAUAUUUUAUUACCAUCUCUGCUGCUUUUGUAUCAUACAUUUAAAAAAUAAAUAACUGUAAAUAAGUUAGUAGAGGACUACA